This 435-nucleotide ribosomal RNA is filed under the name Triticum aestivum (bread wheat). RNAcentral's name for it is "partial small subunit ribosomal RNA". Lineage: Eukaryota; Viridiplantae; Streptophyta; Magnoliopsida; Poales; Poaceae. The record is from RNAcentral.
AUGGAUUGGAACCCUCAAGUGCUUUGUUGGAACAUGAGGGGGCUUAGCAACCCCGCUAAAAGGAAUGUAGUCAGGGAGUUUGUGGUAGCGGCUAAGGCCAAUCUUGUAUGUCUUCAAGAAACUAAACUUGAAGUCUUUGACCAUUAUUUGGUAAUGCAAUGUAUUGGGCCAUCGUUUGAUGGUUUUGCCUACCCGCCUGUGUCGGAAACUAGGGGUGGCAUCCUUUUGGGGUGGGAUAGCUCAUACUUGGUGAUCAACAACAUUACUCGGGAUAUUAACUUCCUCUCGGGCUUGGUUCGGAAUAAAGAUGGCUCAGAAUGGUGGUUGUCGGUAGUGUAUGGACCUCAAGGGGAUGAGCUUAAAACUCAGUUUCUUAUGGAACUUCAGCAUAGAAGGGACGUGUCACCGGGCCUCUGGAUUGCUAGGAGACUUUAA